CACAUAGGAGGCGAGCGUUAUCCGGAUUUACUGGGCGUAAAGUGCGUUGAGGCGGCUCUGUAAGUUGGACGUGAAAGCUCCUGGCCUAACUGGGAGAGGUCGUUCAAUACUGCAGAACUUGAGGACAGCAGAGGGGGGUGGAAUUCCCGGUGUAGUGGUGAAAUGCGUAGAUACCGGGAGGAACACCAGUGGCGAAGGCGGCCCCCUGGGCUGCUCCUGACGCUGAAGGCGAAAGCUAGGGGAGCAAACGGGAUUAGAUACCCUCGUA
RNAcentral lists this ribosomal RNA (268 nucleotides) under uncultured prokaryote. Its description in RNAcentral is "partial 16S ribosomal RNA". It matches the Rfam family "Bacterial small subunit ribosomal RNA", at positions 524 to 792 of the family's 1533-position model. The record is from RNAcentral.